This 22-nucleotide microRNA is filed under the name Aedes aegypti (yellow fever mosquito). Its description in RNAcentral is "aae-miR-2944b-3p". The record is from miRBase by way of RNAcentral. Lineage: Eukaryota; Metazoa; Arthropoda; Insecta; Diptera; Culicidae.
UAUCACAGCAGUAGUUACCUGA